UGUAGCAAUACGAUGGAAAGUCUAGUGGCGAACGGGUGCUUAACACGUGGGCAACCUGCCAUGAAGUGGGGGAUAGCUCGGCGAAAGCCGGAUUAAUACCGCAUGUGAUCAGGGGAGACAUCUUCCCAAAAUCAAAGGUGGCGCAAGCUACCGCUUUUUGAGGAGCCCGCGGCCUAUCAGCUUGUUGGUGAGGUAACGGCUCACCAAGGCGUUGACGGGUAGCUGGUCUGAGAGGACGACCAGUCACACUGGAACUGAGACACGGUCCAGACACCUACGGGUGGCAGCAGUCGAGAAUUUUUCUCAAUGGGGGAAACCCUGAAGGAGCGACGCCGCGUGGAGGAUGAAGGUCUUCGGGUUGUAAACUCCUGUCAUUUGGGGACAAUGCUGACGCGUUAACUGCGCGUUAGUUGAUAGUACCAGAAGAGGAAGAGACGGCUAACUCUGUGCCAGCAGCCGCGGUAAUACAGAGGUCUCAAGCGUUGUUCGGAUUCAUUGGGCGUAAAGGGUGUGUAGGUGGCACGCUAAGUCGGGUGUGAAAUUUCGGAGCUUAACUCCGAAACUGCAUUCGAUACUGACGUGCUUGAGGACUGGAGAGGAGACUGGAAUUCACGGUGUAGCA
Molecule: ribosomal RNA, 622 nt
Filed under: uncultured Verrucomicrobiota bacterium
Lineage: Bacteria; Pseudomonadati; Verrucomicrobiota
Description: bacterial SSU rRNA
Rfam family: Bacterial small subunit ribosomal RNA
Source: RNAcentral